CUGGAGGUCAUCUGUGGUCAUCACAGCAGGGAAGCCAGCCCCAGUGAAACAAACACAGAGGCGCAGGGUCAGAGGACCCCUGAAAAGCUAUGUGACCUAGGAGAAGGGAGGUUGUACGUGGAUAUGAAAUAGAAAGAGAGAAGAAGGAAGUGGAGUCUGCAGAGACGAGGAAAUCUAAUCACCCAUCCAGCUGAACUCUACGUUUGUCAUGACUCAUGGGAGGGGUGGGGGCAGAAAAGGAAAGGGAGAAAGAAAAUGCUGAUUUCAAAUCCAACUUAACCUGAGGUAAUGAAAGCUACGGUGAGGAGUUCUACAUGAUUAACGGGAGAAAAUGCAGAUGGCCUGAAUGGAAGCCACAAUGUAAAAUAUGGUUUUAUAAACAGGGCUGAAAGAAA
Molecule: long non-coding RNA, 395 nt
Organism: Suricata suricatta (meerkat)
Lineage: Eukaryota; Metazoa; Chordata; Mammalia; Carnivora; Herpestidae
Exons: 4
Source: RefSeq, a predicted model, not a curated record